Molecule: small nuclear RNA, 135 nt
Filed under: Spizellomyces punctatus DAOM BR117
Lineage: Eukaryota; Fungi; Chytridiomycota; Chytridiomycetes; Spizellomycetales; Spizellomycetaceae
Description: U4 spliceosomal RNA
Rfam family: U4 spliceosomal RNA
About the family: U4 small nuclear RNA (U4 snRNA) is a component of the major U2-dependent spliceosome. The structure of U4 snRNA from yeast and human has been reported.
Source: Rfam by way of RNAcentral
AUCCUUGCACAGGGGCAAUACCUUCAGCAGUGAAGUCUCGACUGAGCUAAGGUUAUUGACUAAUUGAAAACUUACCAAUUACCCGUGGUGGGGCCACUGGCCACACCCAAUUUUUGGCACCCUCUCACUAUGAGA